AAUACAGUCGGGAAUGAAGUUCUCCCCCAGUAUUGUUUAUACUGAAACCGCUUAUUUGAGCUGAUGACUUCUGCGGAUAC
Molecule: regulatory RNA element, 80 nt
Rfam family: Fluoride riboswitch aptamer (crcB RNA motif)
Source: Rfam